This 424-nucleotide ribosomal RNA is filed under the name uncultured bacterium. RNAcentral's name for it is "bacterial SSU rRNA". It matches the Rfam family "Bacterial small subunit ribosomal RNA", at positions 202 to 622 of the family's 1533-position model. The record is from RNAcentral.
AAAGACCUCGCGUUAUUGGAGCGGCCGAUAUCUGAUUAGCUAGUUGGUGGGGUAAAGGCUCACCAAGGCGACGAUCAGUAGCUGGUCUGAGAGGAUGAUCAGCCACACUGGAACUGAGACACGGUCCAGACUCCUACGGGAGGCAGCAGUGGGGAAUUUUGGACAAUGGGCGCAAGCCUGAUCCAGCCAUUCCGCGUGAGUGAAGAAGGCCUUCGGGUUGUAAAGCUCUUUCGCAAGGGAAGAAACGAUACGAGCGAAUAACUCGUGUUAAUGACGGUACCUUGAUAAGAAGCACCGGCUAACUACGUGCCAGCAGCCGCGGUAAUACGUAGGGUGCGAGCGUUAAUCGGAAUUACUGGGCGUAAAGCUUGCGCAGGCGGUUUUGUAAGUCAGAUGUGAAAUCCCCGGGCUCAACCUGGGAACU